This 545-nucleotide ribosomal RNA is filed under the name uncultured bacterium. RNAcentral describes it as "bacterial SSU rRNA". It matches the Rfam family "Bacterial small subunit ribosomal RNA", at positions 347 to 910 of the family's 1533-position model. The record is from RNAcentral.
GGCAGCAGUGGGGAAUCUUGCACAAUGGGGGAAACCCUGAUGCAGCGACGCCGCGUGAGUGAUGAAGCCCUUCGGGGUGUAAAGCUCUUUCGGCAGGGACGAUAAUGACGGUACCUGAAGAAGAAGCUGCGGCUAACUACGUGCCAGCAGCCGCGGUAAUACGUAGGCAGCGAGCGUUGUUCGGAGUUACUGGGCGUAAAGAGUGCGUAGGCGGUUUUCUAAGUUUGGUGUGAAAUCUCCCGGCUCAACUGGGAGGGUGCGCCGAAGACUGGAAGGCUAGAGUGUGGGAGAGGUAAGCGGAAUUCCUGGUGUAGCGGUGAAAUGCGUAGAUAUCAGGAGGAACACCUGCGGUGUAGACGGCUUACUGGACCAUAACUGACGCUGAGGCACGAAAGCGUGGGUAGCAAACAGGAUUAGAUACCCUGGUAGUCCACGCCCUAAACGAUGCAUACUUGGUGUGGGUAGUUCAUUCUAUCCGUGCCGGAGCUAACGCGUUAAGUAUGCCGCCUGGGGAGUACGGUCGCAAGGCUGAAACUCAAAGGAAU